This is a long non-coding RNA of Magnolia sinica, 1067 nucleotides long. RefSeq lists it as uncharacterized. The record is from RefSeq and is a predicted model, not a curated record. The transcript has 3 exons. Lineage: Eukaryota; Viridiplantae; Streptophyta; Magnoliopsida; Magnoliales; Magnoliaceae.
UCACCUUGCACCACAAAACCUCUCCUCCUCUCAUCAUCCUAUCUACUCCAUGGCCAUAUCCCUCUAGCAAAAACAGUGGCUGAGAUUACGGUGGGCCACUGUCAUCAACGUUCCAGAUGAUCACGUAGAUGUCGGUCUCCAUGGCGCCUGCGGGAGAAAUCAAAGACAUGAAGCUAGCCCAGAAGACAUCUUCAAGGUGGCGUUCCCUUCGAUGAAAACCCUUCUAUUGGAAGAUUCAACCUUCAAUCAGCGGCCUGCAAAUAGAUGGUGGACCAAUUUGAGAUGGGUUUACAUCAAUCUCAAGAUCUUGAUGUAGAAUGGACGGUGUCGAUUGACUAUACACCAAAUUAUGGUGUAUCGCACCGGCAAAAGGCAGCGUUGGAGUUGGAUGUAUGAGAUCUAGAGCUUGUAAUUUAAAGAGAUGAUCUUAAUGUGGAAUGGACGGUGGCGAUCUUAUGAGGAAAAAAAAUUAUAAAAAAUCUAGAUUACUGACAAACCCACCAAUUCAGCUCGACUCGGUGCAAACUCAGUCCACCGGAUUUCACUCUCUCUACGUUUUCUGCUCGUUGGCUUGAUCUCUCAUUACCUAUUCCGAUGGCUUUGAUUUCAAAUCAGUUCUUAUCCAAGAACUUGCAGUGGGUUUUCUUGAUUGGAGAAGAUGGGUGGCAUAAAUAUGGGAAAUUCUACAUAAAACAUAGAUUUCGACAUUCCGCUGCUUCUGGACGGUUCAGAUGAUCAAGACGGAACUUGGGGACACAGAAUUUCAAAGGUCUAGAUCUGUUUUUUCCGGUGGGUGCUGCAGGGAAAGAAUUUCAAAAAUCCCGACGCAAACGGAUAUAACAGCGUCGAAAACGGAUAGAACAACGUUCGUGGUCUUCCUGUAAUACAACAUGGAUUCGAAGAUCAUCCAGAUUGUGAUUGAACAGUCUGGAUUGAUUUAGAUCUCCGUCGUUCCCUAAGCUUUCCUUCAUCACUGUAACUAAAACACAGACAUCCAUACAAUUUUAUUUUAUUUUUUUGCAACAAAAAGAAAAUAUUAUAUUGAAACAUUUAUACUAGAAUUCAAA